Molecule: ribosomal RNA, 614 nt
Filed under: Lactococcus garvieae
Lineage: Bacteria; Bacillati; Bacillota; Bacilli; Lactobacillales; Streptococcaceae
Description: bacterial SSU rRNA
Rfam family: Bacterial small subunit ribosomal RNA
Source: RNAcentral
GAUAGCUUGCUAUUUUUAUGAAGAGCGGCGAACGGGUGAGUAACGCGUGGGAAAUCUGCCGAGUAGCGGGGGACAACGUUUGGAAACGAACGCUAAUACCGCAUAACAAUGAGAAUCGCAUGAUUCUUAUUUAAAAGAAGCAAUUGCUUCACUACUUGAUGAUCCCGCGUUGUAUUAGCUAGUUGGUAGUGUAAAGGACUACCAAGGCGAUGAUACAUAGCCGACCUGAGAGGGUGAUCGGCCACACUGGGACUGAGACACGGCCCAGACUCCUACGGGAGGCAGCAGUAGGGAAUCUUCGGCAAUGGGGGCAACCCUGACCGAGCAACGCCGCGUGAGUGAAGAAGGUUUUCGGAUCGUAAAACUCUGUUGUUAGAGAAGAACGUUAAGUAGAGUGGAAAAUUACUUAAGUGACGGUAUCUAACCAGAAAGGGACGGCUAACUACGUGCCAGCAGCCGCGGUAAUACGUAGGUCCCAAGCGUUGUCCGGAUUUAUUGGGCGUAAAGCGAGCGCAGGUGGUUUCUUAAGUCUGAUGUAAAAGGCAGUGGCUCAACCAUUGUGUGCAUUGGAAACUGGGAGACUUGAGUGCAGGAGAGGAGAGUGGAAUUCCAUG